RNAcentral lists this long non-coding RNA (564 nucleotides) under Salvia miltiorrhiza (redroot sage). Its description in RNAcentral is "long non-coding RNA (SMIL_LNC004861)". The record is from RNAcentral. Lineage: Eukaryota; Viridiplantae; Streptophyta; Magnoliopsida; Lamiales; Lamiaceae.
AAUAUAAAAUCAUGUCUUUCUAAUAAAUAAAAGAUAAACUUAGUCAACUAACUUUACAUGAAUUAGAAUUCGGUAUUGACUACUUUGAUUUAGGCCUUGAAUGAUAGCAGAGAGUUUAGUUCUCAAAAGAUCUUCUCCUUGAGAUUGUAGAUUCACUUGGUGAUUGCUAAUUUGAGCUUUUAAAGACUGAUCAAACCGAGAGGCAAACUCUUAUUUCUUUUUCUUCAGCUCUUCAAUCUCCUUUUGCAAAUCAAGAUUAAUUCUCUCUUCUCUUUUGGAUAGUGACUUCAAUCCAUCUCCACAUGCACAAAGUCGGCUCGACUUUUCCUCACCGAGAACCUUGACAAAAGCCACGUCUUCUGACAUAGGACCGUCAUCAUUUUCAAUGUUUUCAGUCUGCAACCUCAUAAGCUCAUUCUGACAAAUAUUUCAAAGCAUUUAAAAUAUAAAAGCAUGUAAAUUAAUGUGUACCUCUUCGAAAUAAAAUUGUGCAGUGGAUUUUUUUCCGCAUGCAUGAUUCCUCUGUAACUUUUUUCUAUUCUCUCUAUUCCGAUCACUAAUUUU